CCCUUAGAUGUUCUGGGCCGCACGCGCGCUACACUGGCUGGCUCAACAAGCAUCUCACCUGCGCUGGCGUGCGGGUUGGUGUGUGUGUGGAGUUUACUCCCUGCUGCAUCAGCUCAGCGCUGCUUAGCUCUGCUAAGUCGAGAGGCGUGGGCAAUCUUGAAAGGCCAGCCGUGUCUGGGAUAGGCUCUUGCAAUUUUCAGCCUUGAACGAGGAAUUCCUAGUAAAUGUGGGUCAUCAACCCGCAUUGAUUACGUCCCUGCCCUUUGUACACACCGCCCGUCGCACCUACCGAUUGAAUGGUCCGGUGAAAUCUCUGGACAGGCUUUUGUGCCUCUGCUUGAGGUAACUUGAGUGAGUGCACAAGCAGGCAGUGGUUGGUGUUUUCGCUAGCUGCAGCUCUGUUUGCCUGGAAGUUGAUUAAAUCUUACCAUUUAGAGGAAGGUGAAGUCGUANCA
RNAcentral lists this ribosomal RNA (455 nucleotides) under uncultured eukaryote. Its description in RNAcentral is "partial 18S ribosomal RNA". It matches the Rfam family "Eukaryotic small subunit ribosomal RNA", at positions 1470 to 1796 of the family's 1831-position model. The record is from RNAcentral.